This is a long non-coding RNA of Carassius auratus (goldfish), 578 nucleotides long. RefSeq lists it as uncharacterized. The record is from RefSeq and is a predicted model, not a curated record. The transcript has 4 exons. Lineage: Eukaryota; Metazoa; Chordata; Actinopteri; Cypriniformes; Cyprinidae.
UAAAGUGCGCGUCCCUGUGCUGCCGCAGAUUGGGAUCAUACCCGGAUCAGCUGACGCCAUUGAGCUCGGUGGGUGACGUCAAUCACUCUUAUGAUGUCAUCUGCGUAGCGCUGCUGACCUCACGCGCGCUUCACCGCAACUACACUGAACUACGGUUCAAAACGCUCGUGCUCUCCGGGCUGAAACUGCGCAUGGACUGAAUAAAAGUACCAGAGUCCCCUUGCAGCACUCCCUAGAAGAGCUCAGCAGUUCACUCAGCAAUUAAAAAGACAUCAGGAACCACAGAAGGGCACUUGCUUUGGAGACUCCAACGGGAAGCUUUGAGACAAACUAGACGCACUUUUACCGAUGACUUACUCAGCAGAAUAGAGUCAAAAUUGUCAUUUUUGGGCAAACACUUCAGAAUGAGCAUGCACGUGAGCUCCUGGACCUCGGCUGUGUAGGUGAGUUGCUCGUAUAUUAUUGCUGAAUUCAAACUAAAUUCUCAGAGCUGUCAUCUUGCAGUUGGGCAAAUAAAUAAAUCAUUAGCGUACAAGGCAGCAACCCUGGGCCCAAAUCCAAUUUUGAAUCAAAGUCAG